RNAcentral lists this ribosomal RNA (351 nucleotides) under Triticum aestivum (bread wheat). RNAcentral's name for it is "partial small subunit ribosomal RNA". The record is from RNAcentral. Lineage: Eukaryota; Viridiplantae; Streptophyta; Magnoliopsida; Poales; Poaceae.
AUGUAUUCAAUGCCCAAUGGAGAGCAAGAGCAGGACCCGAAAGGAGAAGCGAGCGGCGGCGACAGUGGCGAAUGGGAGUUUGAUGGUAGAGGAGACGAAGAAAGCGACGAUCCAAGUGACGAAGAAGAAGUCGAGUCGCCUCCUCGCAGGGAGAGGAGGUCCAAACUUGACCAAGAACGACUGAGCGCCCGUGAAAAGGCGAUUGCUCAAGCUGGUCAGUCUUCAAAGCGUCCUCAGACCUCUUCGCCAACUCCGACUGAAAAAGCGUCAAAGCAUCCCAAAGUCGCAGAGCCGAAGCUUCGGAAGGCGUUGCCGAAGAUUAAGAUUGACAUCCCCAUUGCUUUCGCGUGA